UACGAAGGGGGCUAGCGUUGUUCGGAAUCACUGGGCGUAAAGGGCGCGUAGGCGGCUAGAUAAGUCGGGGGUGAAAGCCUGUGGCUCAACCACAGAAUUGCCUUCGAUACUGUCUGGCUUGAGACCGGAAGAGGUUAGUGGAACUGCGAGUGUAGAGGUGAAAUUCGUAGAUAUUCGCAAGAACACCAGUGGCGAAGGCGGCUCACUGGCCCGGUACUGACGCUGAGGUGCGAAAGCGUGGGGAGCAAACAGG
RNAcentral lists this ribosomal RNA (253 nucleotides) under uncultured bacterium. RNAcentral describes it as "partial 16S ribosomal RNA". It matches the Rfam family "Bacterial small subunit ribosomal RNA", at positions 524 to 776 of the family's 1533-position model. The record is from RNAcentral.